RNAcentral lists this ribosomal RNA (334 nucleotides) under uncultured bacterium. RNAcentral describes it as "bacterial SSU rRNA". It matches the Rfam family "Bacterial small subunit ribosomal RNA", at positions 29 to 342 of the family's 1533-position model. The record is from RNAcentral.
AACGAACGCUGGCGGCGUGGAUAAGACAUGCAAGUCGAACGCUAAUUACAGUGCAGCAAUGUAUAGUGGUUGGAGUGGCGCAAGGGUGCGUAACACGUGGGUAAUUUGCCGUGAAGAUGGGGGAUAACCCCGAGAAAUCGGGGCUAAUACCGGAUAUGAAAAUUGGGAGGCAUCUUUGAUUUCAAAGUUGGGGACCGUAAGGCCUGACGCUUCACGAUAAGCCCGCGGCCUAUCAGCUAGUUGGUGAGGUAACGGCUCACCAAGGCAAAGACGGUAGCUGGUCUGAGAGGACGACCAGUCACACUGGAACUGAGAGACGGGUCCAGACACCUAC